Non-coding RNA from Zonotrichia albicollis (white-throated sparrow), 486 nucleotides. Lineage: Eukaryota; Metazoa; Chordata; Aves; Passeriformes; Passerellidae. The record is from RefSeq and is a predicted model, not a curated record.
CAACUCUGUGAAGUCCUGUGAGAAGCAUCAGCCAUGAGGAUCCUAUUCCUGCUCUUCCCCUUGUUCCUCCUGUUGGUCCAAGGUGCUGCAGCAGGAAAACAUGACAAGUGCAUCCGACGAGGAGGAUUCUGUGCUGUGGGGGGCUGUCGUUUCCCCUAUAAAUACGUGGGAGUUUGCUCAACACUGAGCCACUGCUGCAAAAUUGUUUGGGGUUAAACCCUGAAAUUCCCAAACAGGACAUGGCCAUCGCUUCUGGUUCCUGAAAAUCAACUCCUUAUGUCCCCUGCCCUGGGUGGCUGUGCCGUGCCCAGCUGGGCUGACAGCAGCAGUGGCAGCUGCUCCUGCUGGCUGCUGCUGGGCUGGAGCCCUGUGGUGCCAGCCCCAGUGUCUUUGGGGCAGGGGCUGCUUUUCCCACAUUGAAUAAAGAUGAGCACUUUGGCAUUGCAGGGCUGGGCCGUGUUUGUGUGUUCCGCUGCUGCUGCAGGG